ACGAACGCUGGCGGCAUGCCUAACACAUGCAAGUCGAACGAUCCCUUCGGGGAUAGUGGCGCACGGGUGCGUAACGCGUAGGAACCUGCCCUUAGGUUCGGAAUAACUCAGAGAAAUUUGAGCUAAUACCGGAUAAUGUCUUCGGACCAAAGAUUUAUCGCCUUUGGAUGGGCCCGCGUUGGAUUAGCUAGUUGGUGGGGUAAAGGCCUACCAAGGCGACGAUCCAUAGCUGGUCUGAGAGGAUGAUCAGCCACACUGGGACUGAGACACGGCCCAGACUCCUACGGGAGGCAGCAGUGGGGAAUAUUGGACAAUGGGCGAAAGCCUGAUCCAGCAAUGCCGCGUGAGUGAUGAAGGCCUUAGGGUUGUAAAGCUCUUUUACCCGGGAUGAUAAUGACAGUACCGGGAGAAUAAGCCCCGGCUAACUCCGUG
RNAcentral lists this ribosomal RNA (432 nucleotides) under uncultured bacterium. RNAcentral describes it as "partial 16S ribosomal RNA". It matches the Rfam family "Bacterial small subunit ribosomal RNA", at positions 29 to 507 of the family's 1533-position model. The record is from RNAcentral.